Long non-coding RNA from Oncorhynchus keta (chum salmon), 3934 nucleotides. RefSeq lists it as uncharacterized. The transcript has 4 exons. NCBI's taxonomy places the organism in Eukaryota, Metazoa, Chordata, Actinopteri, Salmoniformes, Salmonidae. The record is from RefSeq and is a predicted model, not a curated record.
UUUAUUUAUUUUUUAUUUCACCUUUAUUUAACCAGGUAGGCUAGUUGAGAACAAGUUCUCAUUUGCAACUGCGACCUGGCCAAGAUAAAGCAUAGCAGUGUGAACAGACAACACAGAGUUACACAUGGAGUAAACAAUUAACAAGUCAAUAACACAGUAGAAAAAAAAGGGGAGUCUAUAUACAAUGUGUGCAAAAGGCAUGAGGAGGUAGGCAAAUAAUUACAAUAUUGCAGAUUAACACUGGAGUGAUAAAUGAUCAUGUACAGGUAGAGAUAUUGGUGUGCAGAAGAGCAGAAAAGUAAAUAAAUAAAAACUGUGGGGAUGAGGUAGGUGAAAAUGGGUGGGCUAUUUACCAAUAGAUUAUGUACAGCUGCAGCGAUCGGUUAGCUGCUCAGAUAGCUGAUGUUUGAAGUUGGUGAGGGAGAUAAGUCUCCAACUUCAGUGAUUUUUGCAAUUUGUUCCAGUCACAGGCAGCAGAGUACUGGAACGAAAGGCGGCCGAAUGAGGUGUUGGCUUUAGGGAUGAUCAGUGAGAUACACCUGCUGGAGCGCGUGCUACGGAUGGGUGUUGCCAUCGUGACCAGUGAACUGAGAUAAGGCGGAGCAUUACCUAGCAUGGCCUUGUAGAUGACCUGGAGCCAGUGGGUCUGGCGACGAAUAUGUAGCGAGGGCCAGCCGACUAGAGCAUACAAGUCACAGUGGUGGGUAGUUUAAGGUGCUUUAGUGACAAAACGGAUGGCACUGUGAUAAACUGCAUCCAGUUUGCUGAGUAGAGUGUUGGAAGCAAUUUUGUAGAUGACAUCGCCGAAGUCGAGGAUCGGUAGGACAGUCAGUUUUACUAGGGUAAGCUUGGCAGCGUGAGUGAAGGAGGCUUUGUUGCGGAAUAGAAAGCCGACUCUUGAUUUGAUUUUCGAUUGGAGAUGUUUGAUAUGGGUCUGGAAGGAGAGUUUGCAGUCUAGCCAGACACCUAGGUACUUAUAGGUGUCCACAUAUUCAAGGUCGGAACCAUCCAGUGUGGUGAUGCUAGUCGGGCAUGUGGGUGCAGGCAGCGAUCGGUUGAAAAGCAUGCAUUUGGUUUUACUAGCGUUUAAGAGCAGUUGGAGGCCACGGAAGGAGUGUUGUAUGGCAUUGAAGCUCGUUUGGAGGUUAGAUAGCACAGUGUCCAAUGACGGGCCGAAAGUAUAUAGAAUGGUGUUGUCUGCGUAGAGGUGGAUCAGGGAAUCGCCCGCAGCAAGAGCAACAUCAUUGAUAUAUACAGAGAAAAGAGUCGGCCCGAGAAUUGAACCCUGUGGCACCCCCAUAGCGACUGCCAGAGGACCGGACAGCAUGCCCUCUCUCCCUCUCUCACUCUCUCUCUCCCCCUCUCUCUCUCCCCCUACUCUCUCCCUCUCUCACUCUCUCUCUCCCCCUCUCUCUCUCUUCCCCUACUCUCUCCCUCUCUCACUCUCUCUCUCCUCCUUCUCUCUGUCUCUCUCUCCCCCUACUCUCUGUCUCUCUCUCUCCCCCAACUCGCUAAAAUUUGCUUUAUUGGCAUGAUGUAACCAAAGCUUACUUUGGAUAUUUACAAUAUUACAAUUAUAAGAAUCUAAAUUGUCAACAAUAACCAAGGGUCAAAAUAACCAUACAUUGAACAAUAACAAUAAGCAUACAGUAGAGGACAUGUGCAGGUUGAUUGGUUUGUCAGACACUGUCCCUCAACCUAUGGCAGGCAGCAAUGUAGUGCGCUGCCAACCCACAGCUCUCUGCUUCCUCCCCCAACAGGAUAGGAUAGGUAGCCUAUCCUCAUCAGAGAGGUCUUUGAAACCUUGAAUCAGGGUUUCAAAUUUGGGGAAAUGACACUCUCUAAUUGUUUUAUAUUUUUGACAUUUUGUCAGGAAAUGCAGCUCCGUCUCAGGUUCUGCUGUGGGGCGGUGGUUGCACAGCCUUUCCUCUACAGGAAGCCAGGUUUUCCUGUGUCUACCCUUCUCAAUGACAUGGCUGUGCUCACUGAGCCUGUACUUUGUCAAAGUUUUUCUAAGGUUUUGAUGGUAACAAUGGUCAAAUAGUUAACCACAGUGUACUGUCCAUUUAGGGCCAGAUAACACUGCAUUUUGCUUUGUGUUUGUGUUUCCCAAUAAGCAAUGAAGUUUUGUUUUGACUGUGUUGUAAUUUGGUUUAUCCUGAUUGAUUGGAUGUUCUGGUCCUGAGGCUUCAGUGUGUUAGUAGAACAGGUUAGUGAACUCAGGACCAGCUGGAUGAGGGGACUGAGGCUUCAGUGUGUUAGUAGAACAGGUUAGUGAACUCAGCCCCAGGACCAGCUGGAUGAGGGGACUGAGGCUUCAGUGUGUUAGUAGAACAGGUUAGUGAACUCAGCCCCAGGACCAGCUGGAUGAGGGGACUGAGGCUUCAGUGUGUUAGUAGAACAGGUUAGUGAACUCAGCCCCAGGACCAGCUGGAUGAGGGGACUGAGGCUUCAGUGUGUUAGUAGAACAGGUUAGUGAACUCAGCCCCAGGACCAGCUGGAUGAGGGGACUGAGGCUUCAGUGUGUUAGUAGAACAGGUUUGUGAACUCAGCCACGGGACCAGCUGGAUGAGGGGACUGAGGCUUCAGUGUGUUAGUAGAACAGGUUAGUGAACUCAGCCCCAGGACCAGCUGGAUGAGGGGACUGAGGCUUCAGUGUGUUAGUAGAACAGGUUAGUUAACUCAGCCUCAGGACCAGCUGGAUGAGGGGACUGAGGCUUCAGUGUGUUAGUAGAACAGGUUUGUGAACUCAGCCCCAGGACCAGCUGGAUGAGGGGACUGAGGCUUCAGUGUGUUAGUACUACAGGUUAGUUAACUCAGCCUCAGGACCAGCUGGAUGAGGGGACUGAGGCUUCAGUGUGUUAGUAGAACAGGUUUGUGAACUCAGCCCCAGGACCAGCUGGAUGAGGGGACUGAGGCUUCAGUGUGUUAGUAGAACAGGUUAGUGAACUCAGGACCAGCUGGAUGAGGGGACUGAGGCUUCAGUGUGUUAGUAGAACAGGUUAGUGAACUCAGCCCCAGGAUCAGCUGGAUGAGGGGACUGAGGCUUCAGUGUGUUAGUAGAACAUGUUUGUGAACUCAGCCCCAGGACCAGCUGGAUGAGGGGACUGAGGCUUCAGUGUGUUAGUAGAACAGGUUAGUGAACUCAGCCCCAGGACCAGCUGGAUGAGGGGACUGAGGCUUCAGUGUGUUAGUAGAACAGGUUAGUGAACUCAGGACCAGCUGGAUGAGGGGACUGAGGCUUCAGUGUGUUAGUAGAACAGGUUAGUUAACUCAGCCUCAGGACCAGCUGGAUGAGGGGACUGAGGCUUCAGUGUGUUAGUAGUACAGGUUAGUGAACUCAGCCCCAGGACCAGCUGGAUGAGGGGACUGAGGCUUCAGUGUGUUAGUAGUACAGGUUAGUGAACUCAGCCCCAGGACCAGCUGGAUGAGGGGACUGAGGCUUCAGUGUGUUAGUAGUACAGGUUAGUGAACUCAGCCCCAGGACCAGCUGGAUGAGGGGACUGGGGCUUCAGUGUGUUAGUAGUACAGGUUAGUGAACUCAGCCCCAGGACCAGCUGGAUGAGGGGACUGAGGCUUCAGUGUGUUAGUAGUACAGGUUAGUGAACUCAGCCCCAGGACCAGCUGGAUGAGGGGACUCUAUUCUUUGCUCAGCUCUUGGCAUUUCAGGGCAUGGUAUUGAUAUUGGGGUCACUGUAUUUUAUACGUUUCCAAAACUGAAUUGGUCUUUUUUGAGUUUUCAUUAUUAGUGGAUAUUGGCCUAAUUCUGCCCUGCAUGCAUUGUUUGUAGUUUUCCUCUGGACAUGUAGGAGAAUCUUACAGAACUCUGCAUGCAGGGUUUCAAUGGGGUCUGUCCCAUUUGAUGAAAUCUUGUUUUGCAAGUGGACCCAACACCUCGCUGCCAUAAAGUGGACCCCACACCUCGCUGCCAUUA